UAGAGCGCGUGAGUGGUGUUUGGUAUGUUGCGGGUGGUUGGAUGUCUGCAUGUGCAGCAACGUCCACCCGCGCACACCUCUUCAUUUGUGCGGACUGGCCGUUGUUUCGGCCUUGAGCAAUCGUUGGGUUUUCCUGUGUUGCCUUCCUGAUCGAUGGUAUCGUAUCGUUCUAUCGACGUCCCAUUUCAUCGUACGUCGCUCAUGUGGCGUGGGGUGAACCUUGCGGCGGCCUCUUUGAUCCAUCCUGUCGAUGUGUAUGCAUCAUGGGCAUGGCCCAUUGGGCGUUGCUUGGUUUCUUGGAUACGGAACCUUGUGUGGGUAACGGGGUCUGUACGACCCUCUGUUUGCCCUCGUCAAGCGUUCUCGCUUCUUCGAAACGACCGUCGGUCGCGUGUUGAUGCGCUCAUGCGUGGCGGACGUUGUCGAAGAGGAAUGCUACCUGGUUGAUCCUGCCAGUAGUCAUAUGCUUGUCUC
This 474-nucleotide unclassified non-coding RNA is filed under the name Spinoliva ilicifolia subsp. ilicifolia. Its description in RNAcentral is "partial external transcribed spacer". Lineage: Eukaryota; Viridiplantae; Streptophyta; Magnoliopsida; Asterales; Asteraceae. The record is from RNAcentral.